UGAAUACCCCAGCGAGCUGGCGAGCACAGUCCCGGAGCACCCUGCCUGGGAUCUCAUCCGGGCCAGCAGCCUUACUAGCAUUAACAGUUCUCAGGGCCCGCUUUACCUCCUCUAACUGGAGGGUAAGUGGCUGGUCAGCAGGGUCCAGUUGGAGAGAGGUAAAGCGACCACUGAGA
Molecule: long non-coding RNA, 176 nt
Organism: Amblyraja radiata (thorny skate)
Lineage: Eukaryota; Metazoa; Chordata; Chondrichthyes; Rajiformes; Rajidae
Exons: 4
Source: RefSeq, a predicted model, not a curated record